RNAcentral lists this long non-coding RNA (368 nucleotides) under Rattus norvegicus (Norway rat). Its description in RNAcentral is "long non-coding RNA NONRATT034033". Lineage: Eukaryota; Metazoa; Chordata; Mammalia; Rodentia; Muridae. The record is from RNAcentral.
UGCCAGGACAUUUUACAGGCUACUACCUUGGUCUUAAGUAGUCUUCCUUCAAACUCUGCUACCUUAUGACACCUUCCUAAACCUUUCUUUGCUCCCAACUCUGAGGGCAAAACUGUCACUUCUUACUUCCUCUGCCAAACUCUGGGCAGCAUCCACAAUGCCCAGUCAUCAUUCUUGAAUAGACUGAUGCUGAGGGAGUGGAUGGGUAGACUCAUAAAGUCAUAAAGAGGGGCUACGUGCAGCCCAAAGGUAGAAUGAUCGACAAGCAUGCCAAAGACCCUGGGCUCAAAUAUCAGCACCAAUAGGAGAAGAAAAUAAUGUCACAGAAGAUUAAUUACAUAAAAAAAUAUAAAAGCACAUUUAUGCAA